RNAcentral lists this long non-coding RNA (224 nucleotides) under Bos taurus (domestic cattle). Its description in RNAcentral is "long non-coding RNA NONBTAT000977". The record is from RNAcentral. Lineage: Eukaryota; Metazoa; Chordata; Mammalia; Artiodactyla; Bovidae.
GAAAGAGGAUUAUACUCGCACUAGGAAUAAGCAGUAAGUGAGCGAAUAGCCAUGAUGGCUUAGAAAAGGCUUAAUCCCCAUGGGGUUAUGGGGUGAGCUAGAAAAUAUUGCUUAACUCUAGAGUAAAACUGGAAAGCUUCUGUGUACAGUUGUCUGCUGUUUGGAGACUAGGAGCUUAAGUACAAACCCAGAUGCCUCCUCCCACUCUUGGAAAAUGCCAACUU